CCCUUAGAUGUUCUGGGCCGCACGCGCGCUACACUGACGAAUGCAACGAGCUUAUAACCUUGGCCGAAAGGUCUGGGUAAUCUCCAAAUUUCGUCGUGAUGGGGAUAGAUUAUUGCAAUUAUUAAUCUUCAACGAGGAAUGCCUAGUAAGCGCAAGUCAUCAGCUUGCGUUGAUUACGUCCCUGCCCUUUGUACACACCGCCCGUCGCUCCUACCGAUUGAAUGGUCCGGUGAAGCGUUCGGACCGUGGCCUUUGGACGGUUCUCCGUCUGUUGGCUGCGGGAAGUUCGUUAAACCUUAUCAUUUAGAGGAAGGAGAAGUCGUAACA
This 327-nucleotide ribosomal RNA is filed under the name uncultured eukaryote. RNAcentral describes it as "partial 18S ribosomal RNA". It matches the Rfam family "Eukaryotic small subunit ribosomal RNA", at positions 1470 to 1796 of the family's 1831-position model. The record is from RNAcentral.